This 326-nucleotide ribosomal RNA is filed under the name uncultured eukaryote. RNAcentral describes it as "partial 18S ribosomal RNA". It matches the Rfam family "Eukaryotic small subunit ribosomal RNA", at positions 1470 to 1796 of the family's 1831-position model. The record is from RNAcentral.
CCCUUAGAUGUUCUGGGCCGCACGCGCGCUACACUGAUGCAUUCAACGAGUUUCUUCCUGGUCCGAGAGGAAUGGGUAACCUUUUGAAAGUGCAUCGUGAUAGGGAUAGACUAUUGCAAUUAUUGGUCUUCAACGAGGAAUUCCUAGUAGACGUAGUUCAUCAGACUGCAUCGAUUACGUCCCUGCCCUUUGUACACACCGCCCGUCGCUCCUACCGAUUGAAUGGUCCGGUGAGGACUCGGGAUUGUGGUUUAGCUCCUUCAUUGGGGCCUGACUGCGAGAACUUGUCCGAACCUUAUCAUUUAGAGGAAGGUGAAGUCGUAACA